Pongo pygmaeus (Bornean orangutan) is the source of this 1683-nucleotide long non-coding RNA. RefSeq lists it as uncharacterized. Lineage: Eukaryota; Metazoa; Chordata; Mammalia; Primates; Hominidae. The record is from RefSeq and is a predicted model, not a curated record. The transcript has 4 exons.
GAAGGAUCCCUGUUUCAUGACUUUAUGCACUCAACUGACAAAUCAUUGGCGCAAGCUUUCAACACUACCGAGGUUGGGAGAUAAAGGUUGGGAGCUCAUCCACAGAGUUGGCUGGAUUGGCAGCAGUACCUGAAAUCCAGUAUGGGUUUGUUUGUCCAGUGAAUUGCUGAUGAACAUCGGAUCAUUUUCAGUGUUUAGAUAUUAUUGAUUUAGCUAUUAAUGAGAUUCCGUGUACAAGACAUUUCUACUGCAGUGAAACCCCUGGUCAUAUGAUGUCAUCUCCUGGGUUCCUGCUUUGAUGAAAGAUGAUUGAGUUGAAACCCUAACCCCCAAUACGACUGCGUUUGGAGAUCGGGCUUAUACAGAGGUAAAGAUUGACGAGAUCCUAUAGAUGGGGCCUUAGAUUCCUAGGGCUGGUGUACGUAAGAAGAGGAAGAGACUCUAGGGAUCUGUGCCUCUCUCUCUCUGCUCCCACCCCUGCUCCACGCAUGAACAGAGAAGAGUUCAUUUAAGGACACAGCAAGAAAGGUGCCGUCUAAAAGCCAGGAAGAGAAACCUCUCCAGUAACUGCAUUUGUUGGCACCUUGAUUGUGUACUUCAAGCCUCCAAAACUGAGAAAUGCAUCUGUGUUGUUUGAGCCACCCUGUCUUUCGUAUUUUAUUAUGGCAACUCAAGCCAUGAAUCUGCUCCCUUUCCCCAGAUUUCUGCCUGAGGAAAGGCUCCAACGCCCCAGCUCCACCCUGGAUACAUUGUGCUUCUGCCCUGGAGCACUACUGAUGGGCUAAGAUUUUGUGUCUUUGCUUCCCUUCUUGGGCACAACCACAUCCUAGAUACCACUUUCUGUCUUCUUGGUUUAUUUUCUUAUUUACGGGUGUACAACCUGAUGUAACUUCCUGAGAAAGGGUGUUUUCAGGGUAAAUAUUCUCAGUCUUUGAAUAGUGAACACAUGUAUAUUUUACCUUCACAUUUUAUUCAUAGUUUGGAUAGGUAACACUUUUUUUUUUAGAUAAAAAGUUUUUUUUUUUCUUUUUUUUGAGAUGGAGUUUCACUCUUGUUGGCCAGGCUGGAGUGCAAUAGUGCGGUCUUGGUUCACUGCAAUCUCCACCUCCCAGAUUCAUGUGAUUCUCCUGCCUUAGCCUCCCCAGUACCUGGGAUUACAGGUGCACACCACCACACCUGGCUAUUUUUUUUUUUUUUUGAAUUUUUAGUAGAGACAGGGUUUCACCAUGUUGGCCAGGCUGGUCUCAAAACUCCUGACUUCAGGUGAUCCACCCACCUUGGCUUCCCAAAGUGCUGGGAUUACAGGCAAGAGCCACCGUGCCUGGCCAAAAAUUAAAGAUUAAAAAUAUUUUUCUCUCAGAAAUUUUCCUCAAAUAUUACUAAUAAAAUGUCUACAUUCCAUUACCUGAUAGAAAAACUGUUUUUCUGUAUUGUUGUUCAUUUAUUUGCUUGCUGCUAGUUUUAAAUCUGGAAGGUUUUAGAUUCUCUUUACUUUUGGCAUUCUUAUUUCACAAUGGUGUACCUAGGUUUCUGUAUGUUACAUUUAUUUUUCUAGUGAUGUAAUGUGUUCUCAUAUUCUUAAGACAUGUCAUGUGUAACAGCCAGUUCGUAGGGGCUCCCAGAGGCCACAUUUAAGAUACACAUUUGUGUAUCUACAAUAAAGAUGAUAACAGUGGAUAACAA